GGGUGAUUAGCUCAGCUGGGAGAGCAUCUCCCUUACAAGGAGGGGGUCGGCGGUUUGAUCCCGUCAUCACCCACCA
This 76-nucleotide transfer RNA is filed under the name Escherichia coli. RNAcentral describes it as "tRNA-Val". It matches the Rfam family "tRNA". From Rfam's summary of the family: Transfer RNA (tRNA) molecules are approximately 80 nucleotides in length. Their secondary structure includes four short double-helical elements and three loops (D, anti-codon, and T loops). The record is from RNAcentral. Lineage: Bacteria; Pseudomonadati; Pseudomonadota; Gammaproteobacteria; Enterobacterales; Enterobacteriaceae.